This 332-nucleotide unclassified non-coding RNA is filed under the name soil metagenome. RNAcentral's name for it is "partial contains 5.8S ribosomal RNA, internal transcribed spacer 2, and large subunit ribosomal RNA". The stretch from base 1 to 120 matches the Rfam family "5.8S ribosomal RNA", at positions 35 to 154 of the family's 154-position model. The record is from RNAcentral.
GAUGAAGAACGUAGCAAAAUGCGAUAAGUAAUGUGAAUUUCAGAAUUCAGUGAAUCAUCGAAUCUUUGAACGCACAUUGCGCCCGCCAGUAUUCUGGCGGGCAUGCCUGUUCGAGCGUCAUUUCAACCCUCAAGCACAGCUUGGUGUUGGGACUCGCGUUAAUUCGCGUUCCCCAAAUUGAUUGGCGGUCACGUCGAGCUUCCAUAGCGUAGUAGUAAAACCCUCGUUACUGGUAAUCGUCGCGGCCACGCCGUUAAACCCCAACUUCUGAAUGUUGACCUCGGAUCAGGUAGGAAUACCCGCUGAACUUAAGCAUAUCAAUAAGCGGAGGA